Molecule: long non-coding RNA, 761 nt
Organism: Oreochromis aureus
Lineage: Eukaryota; Metazoa; Chordata; Actinopteri; Cichliformes; Cichlidae
Source: Ensembl
CUUGAAUUGGACUUGAACCUGUUUACUUGAAAAGACUUGAUAUUUUACCCAAAUCUAAAAUUUAACAUACAUAUUAUAUAAAAAGUGCGGACCAUUAAUUCACUUUAUUCAUUCAUUCAUUCUUACCACACUCCGUAUGUAUGUGAGCGUGGGCUGUAGCACAGCCAAUCAAAUUAACCAGAUUUGAAAAAAACAAGAACAAAAACGCUCGAGCCAAAAAUGCUUCCAAGAGUAAUUUCUUUCGGGUACAUAAACUACGAAGUAGUCAACAAAAAACGAAAUGCAAUAUGCAAAACAUGCAAGAAGAGAAUCACAGACGGAGAUGGAACAACUUCCAACUUUGUCCGACAUUUGAAGUUGCAUAAAGAACGGUAGGUGGUGCUUUUUUUUUCUUUUUUUUUUUGCUACGAUGAGACAGCUGACUUAGCUAACUUCAUCUUAUUAGCAAAUGUUCUUCGGGCUACGUUGAUGAUACUGUUUGGCUUUAACAGAUUCUGGCAGGCGAGAGGAGAAAAGAACGAUGGAGAGACAGAAUUGGGCCAGCGAGUGGCAGAGCUCCCCACAGCCAGUCAGGGCCUGGAUGUCUGAGGAGGGACUGAAGGCCCUUGGGCAAGUACUGACAUCACCAGCUUGGAUUCUUUGUCUGGCAAGACAGCCUCAUGUAAAUAUUACAUCCAGGCCCACACAUCUUCUGCCUCCACACCCACACUCACUUCGAUUUUAAUCAAAACUCUGGGUGCUUUACAAAGACUUGGUAAGUG